RNAcentral lists this long non-coding RNA (277 nucleotides) under Neogale vison (American mink). Its description in RNAcentral is "Neovison vison (American mink) lncRNA (ENSNVIG00000007327.1)". Lineage: Eukaryota; Metazoa; Chordata; Mammalia; Carnivora; Mustelidae. The record is from RNAcentral.
CUGGCGUUUCGGGGGGCGGAACCGGGAAGCGUUUCCGGGGGCGGGAGGCACAGGCUGAGGCGGUCGCGGCGGCGACGGCUUGAAGGGGCCUGGAGCCGGUGGCGGAAAGUGUCCGGCGGCCGGGUUAUGUGAGCGCGGAGCCGUUAGCAGAAGUCAGUGCGAUUUUAAUUUGAAGCAAAACAGAGAAAUGGGUUUCUCUUCCUCAUUCAUCCUUACUGCUUUCUGAUGGCCAUGGCAUAAAGGGCUUUUUCCUAGGAAUACAGCUUUGCAUUAGCAC